This 506-nucleotide ribosomal RNA is filed under the name uncultured bacterium. RNAcentral describes it as "partial 16S ribosomal RNA". It matches the Rfam family "Bacterial small subunit ribosomal RNA", at positions 28 to 523 of the family's 1533-position model. The record is from RNAcentral.
GAUGAACGCUAGCUACAGGCUUAACACAUGCAAGUCGAGGGGUAACGAGAGGAAAGCUUGCUUUCCUUGUCGACGACCGGCGCACGGGUGAGUAACGCGUAUCCAACCUGCCCCCAACUAGGGAAUAACCUUGCGAAAGUAAGACUAAUACCCUAUAAUUUCCUCAGAUGUCAUCUGACGAGGAAUAAAGAUUUAUCGGUUGUGGAUGGGGAUGCGUCUGAUUAGCUUGUUGGCGGGGUAACGGCCCACCAAGGCAACGAUCAGUAGGGGUUCUGUGUGGAAGGUCCCCCACAUUGGAACUGAGACACGGUCCAAACUCCUACGGGAGGCAGCAGUGAGGAAGAUUGUUCAAUGGGCGGAUGCCUUAACCAGCCAAUUAGCGUGCAGGAUGACGGCCCUAUGGGUUGUAAACUGCUUUUAUACAGGAAUAAAGUUAGCCACGUGUGGUUAUUUGUAGGUACUGUAUGAAUAAGGACCGGCUAAUUCCGUGCCAGCCGCCGCCGCGG